Molecule: ribosomal RNA, 621 nt
Filed under: uncultured Lactarius
Lineage: Eukaryota; Fungi; Basidiomycota; Agaricomycetes; Russulales; Russulaceae
Description: eukaryotic LSU rRNA
Rfam family: 5.8S ribosomal RNA (bases 174-327)
Source: RNAcentral
AAAGUCGUGCACGCCCGGGUGUUUCCCCUCACAUAAUAAUCCAUCUCACCCUUUGUGCAUCACCGCGUGGGCACCCUUUGGGAUCAUCUCGGAGGGGGCUCGCGUUUUCACACAAACCCCCCUUAUAAAAAGUGUAGAAUGACCUCAUUUAUGCGCUAACCCGCAAUCAAUACAACUUUCAACAACGGAUCUCUUGGCUCUCGCAUCGAUGAAGAACGCAGCGAAAUGCGAUACGUAAUGUGAAUUGCAGAAUUCAGUGAAUCAUCGAAUCUUUGAACGCACCUUGCGCCCCUUGGUAUUCCGAGGGGCACACCCGUUUGAGUGUCGUGAAAACCUCAACCUCCUUAGGUUUCUUCUGGAGACCAAAGCAGGCUUGGACUUUGGAGGCCUCUGCUGGCACCCUCUUUUUGGAGGCCAGCUCCUCUUAAACAAAUUAGCAGGGUCCUCUUUGCCGAUCCUUGACGUGUGAUAAGAUGUUUCCAUGUCUUGGUUUCUGGCUCUGUCACUUUUGGGACCCGCUUCUAAUUGUCUGGACCUUGCGUCGAGACAAUGUUCGAGCACGGGAAUCUCCCCUCGACCUCACGAACCCUUGACCUCAAAUCGGGUGAGACUACCCGCUGA